Molecule: ribosomal RNA, 253 nt
Filed under: uncultured bacterium
Lineage: Bacteria
Description: partial 16S ribosomal RNA
Rfam family: Bacterial small subunit ribosomal RNA
Source: RNAcentral
UACGUAGGGUGCAAGCGUUGUCCGGAAUUAUUGGGCGUAAAGAGCUCGUAGGCGGUCUGUCACGUCGGCUGUGAAAUCCCGAGGCUCAACCUCGGGUCUGCAGUCGAUACGGGUAAACUAGAGUAUUGCAGGGGAGACUGGAAUUCCUGGUGUAGCGGUGAAAUGCGCAGAUAUCAGGAGGAACACCGGUGGCGAAGGCGGGUCUCUGGGCAAUAACUGACGCUGAGGAGCGAAAGCGUGGGGAGCGAACAGG